UUGCAGAAUUCCGUGAUCAUCGAAUCUUUGAACGCACCUUGCGCUCUAUGGCAAUCCGUAGAGCAUGCCUGUUUGAGUGCCGUGAAAUCUCCCACCCCAAGCGGUUUUUACAUGAAACGGCUUGGCGGAUGGGGUCUGGAUGGGUGCCUCUGCCUGCGCUACCUAGCACAGGCUCGCCCGAAAUGCAUGAGCGCCUUAAAACCUUUGCUUCCCCUUCUCGGUUUGGAAGAAGGCGGCCAACCAUGGUUUUUCCCCGGGCUUGGCUGGAUCCUUCUUUUGCUUGGUCCCCAAAAGGAGAAUGGUUGGGUUGGUUCGGCUGGGGCUCCAAACUUGCCUCGGGGGCACUUCCCAUUUUCCCUUCGGGCCUCAAACCAGGAAGAAUCACCCGCUAAACU
Molecule: unclassified non-coding RNA, 395 nt
Filed under: uncultured Malassezia
Lineage: Eukaryota; Fungi; Basidiomycota; Malasseziomycetes; Malasseziales; Malasseziaceae
Description: sequence contains 5.8S rRNA gene, ITS2
Rfam family: 5.8S ribosomal RNA (bases 1-82)
Source: RNAcentral